Molecule: long non-coding RNA, 3476 nt
Filed under: Sus scrofa (pig)
Lineage: Eukaryota; Metazoa; Chordata; Mammalia; Artiodactyla; Suidae
Description: lncRNA (ENSSSCG00035009654.1)
Source: RNAcentral
GCAUAACUGACUCUGGACCAAAUGUUUGUCACGUGUGAAAAAAGCUGGGGGUGAGACAGGCCUGGAAUGAGAUUCUAGUCCAGCUCAGACCCUGAGCAAGGCCCAGGUGCAGGCAAUUCUUUGCCAGGUGAUUCCUGGAGCACAAGGAGUGAUGGGAGAGGAGACGGAAGGGGGAGGUGGCAGUGCGUUCUGCCGGGUUAGCUGCGUGGGCACCUGGGACUCCAUUCUACGGGGAUCUGAGGAACCAGUUGCUGCCUGGACUGCUCAGCUGCAUGUGGUCUGUGGGUUUUUCUCUCCACUCCCUGGAAAGGAUAUUCGUGCUGCUUCCAGCUCCCGCCACCUUUACCAACAACGCAAGGCAGAGCUCCAUCCUCGGCCAGUGACAGGUUUGUGGGAGCAUGGGGGCGGGGUAGGGCGGGUGACACAGGGGCAGAAUUUCUGGGUCAUGGAUGAGCGUCUCUUCUUUUGAGUAAGGAGUGUGCGGCUGUAUUGGUUUAUACUUGCGCCCACCAGCGGGGCAGAAGGUCCUUCUAGUGCAGUAGGUCUAAAACAUUAUCUCGUUGUUUUAAUUCUCAAUUUCUCUGAUUACUAACAGCUUUAAGCAGUUGUUAGCUUUUGGGUUUUGUCUGUGUCAGUUGCUUGUUCGUAAUCUUUGCCCAUUUUUCUUUGGGGUCUGCUGGGUUUUUUUUUUUUUUUCUUGUAAAUUUGCAGAAGGUCUUAAAAGUUUUGGAUAUCAAUUUCUUGUUGCUUUUAGAUGUUGCAAAUAUUUUCUCCGAUUUUUUUUUUUUGGUCUGUGAGCUUUGUUGAGCAUAGAUCCUUAGGUGUUUUUGUUUGUUUGUUUUUUGCUUUUUAGGGCUGCACCUGCGGCAUAUGGACAUUCCCAGGCUAGGGGUUGAAUUAGAGCUACAGCUGCCAGCCUACACCACAGCCACAGCAACGCAGGAUCCGAGCUGCAUCUGCGACCUACACCACAGCUCAACACCAGAUCCUUAACCCACUGAGUGAGGCCAGGGAUUGAACCUGCAUCCUCAUGGAUCCUAGUUGGGUUUGUUAACCGCUGAGCCACAAAGAGAACUCCAUGGAUCCUUAGUUUUGCUGAAACAAAAUUCACCAAUACUUUGCCUUAUUCUUUGACCUUUCUUGGAGGAGGAAGAAAUGUAAACAGGAGAGUGUUACCACAGUGUGCCUAGUGCAGUGGCCAAGUCAAGGGUCUGGGGAUGGACAAGAGGGCAGGUGUCCUUGGGGAGCACGGGGGGUUAAGGAGCCUGUGAGGGGCAGCACUCAGAGAAUAGGACUUGGAAACAGAUGGAAAGGUGUGUCUCAGGGCAGGACAAGGGCAUAGGAGCGAGUUGUCAGGGAGGCCAAGCCCAGGAGACAUCCUGAUGUCUCUGCAUCAUCUCUUGGUCUCCGCUGACCGUACUGUGCCGUGGGUGCUUCCUGUGCACGCAGGUGUGUCUCCAUCACAGGUGCCCAUCAUGGGUCUCCGUUCUCCUGCCUCAGGGAGUUCACGCUCCUGGGAGGUGAGCAGUAGGGGCCACGAGCACAGCUCAACCCGAGCCCUUUGUCCUUUCAGUGGGUAACCCUAGGGUGCUUUCUGCCCAUCCCUCAGAGGAGCCAGGGAGGGUGUGAGCCCCGGGUGCCCACAGCGGGAGUCCAGUGACAUGUGCUCUUUCCUUGCUCCACUUCCCCGCACCUCACUUCUGCCUCCUGGGCCGCCCCCCAAAUCAACUACCUGCCCCCAUGUCCUCCUCCUGGGCGCUGCUUUGCCUGAACCCAAACAAAGACCCCCCAUGGGAUAGAGAGUUUAAAUGAAAGAGAUCAAAGACUUGUCCAAAUGGGACGAUAUGGGCGGCAAGAUGCCUUCAGGGGAGUGGCUGUUGGAUUGGCAAUGACCAAUUUGAUGGAGUGAUGGGUGAGUUUCAAGGACUGGGGAGCAAAUGAAGGUGGAGACAGCAAGUGUGGCUUUGAGACGUUUAGAGGAGGAGGCAGGACAAGGUCCCUUCGAUAGUCAGCUGUCCCCAGCCCCACCCCCCAAUUCCCAUCCACUCUGCUCCUCCCUACCCUCACUCCCCUCAACAGAGAUCAUCUCUGGUCACCUUUAAGGGAUGGCGUCACUUUGUAAAAUUUUUUUCUGGAAUUUUCCGUGAUGAUGUUCCAGUACUCCAAGGGCUAGCAUCCAUGGGGGUGGGGUCUCUGUCCCUCUCUCGGUGAUCUGGAACCUCAGCCUGUGCACCCGGCUGUGUUUGGAACUAUUGUCUGCUUUUUGAAUCUGCCUCUGACAUCCACCCAGCCGGCCCCAGCCGUGAGGUCAGUGGCAGCUGACGGUGGAAAAAGCAGCAGAGACAAAACAUAACCAUCUGUCCGAGGUCAGCCAGGAAGCCUGCGGCAGCCUUGAGCCUGGAACACAGAGAACAGAUCUCCCAGCCCAGCAGCAGCAUGAGGAGCUGGGCCCACACACUUCCAGGGGGGGCAGGAUAGGAAAAGGAAGUUGUCGCUCCUUUCUCUCUGCAGGGAAAUACCCCGUGGGUGCUGGCAGCAUCUGUGGGGCCACCUGCAGGAGGCCAGGCUCUGUCACGAGAGGGAGGGGGAUGUCUGCUGGCUGGGGCCUGGCCACCCACGGUCCAGGCCAGACUUGGGAGGCUUCUGUCUUGAGCUGUAGGGCGCGUGCACAUACCAGUGGGCUAACAAGACUGGCUUUCUCCCUCCAGGGCCCAAGUUCAAGUUCAGGUCCUGGGGUUUGGAAGGAAAAGAGAAAAGGCAGGAAAAGAGGAAUGGAGGGGGGAGGCCUCACACCUGGAGGGACAGAACGAUGCUGCUGACCUUGACCACAAGGAGACACUCAGCCAGGAGGAGCAGGUGUGGGUGUGGCUGUCAUAUUAACAAACCCACAGGAUUAACAACAAGCGUCUUCCUCCUGAAGUUAGGAAAAUAAAAUGUUAUCUUUCUGAGUGUGUGUGAAAGCAGGAAGCACAGAUACAUUAAGGCGUAGGAUGUAAAAUUGUGACGUUAAAGUGACAAUAGGAGGAGUUCCUGUCGUGGCUCAGCAGUUAAAAUGAACCCGACUAGGAUCCAUGAAGACUUGGGUUCAAUCUCUGGCCUCGCUCAGUGGGUUAAGGAUCCAGCAUUGCCAUGAGCUGUGGUGUAGGUCACAGACUCUGCUCGGAUCCCAUGUUGCUGUGGCUGUGGCGUAGGCCAAUGGCUACAGCUCCGAUUGGACCCCUAGCCUGGGGACCUCCAUAUGCAAGGGGUGUGGGCCUAAAAAGACAAAAAGAAAUAAAGCAACAAUAGGAGAUUUUAAGGAAAAGUCUCCUAAGAUGCUGAGCUCCAGGCCUCCAGGGCAAUGACAAGCUCUCCUCUGCCAUUAGGAGACUUUAGCCAGAGUGUGAGAAGCACCUGUCUAGUCCAGGACUAUGCUGGUAAAUAUUUAGCAACCAGCUCUCUCUCUCUCAAAAAAAAAAAAAAAAAAAAAAAAAAAA